GAUGAACGCUAGCGGCAGGCUUAAUACAUGCAAGUCGAGGGGCAACGAGGGGUAGCAAUACCUGCUGGCGACCGGCAAACGGGUGCGGAACACGUACAGAACCUUCCUUUAAGCGGGGGAUAGCCCGAAGAAAUUCGGAUUAAUACCCCAUAGUAAUACUUAGUGGCAUCAUUAGAUAUUUAAAGAUUUAUCACUUAGAGAU
RNAcentral lists this ribosomal RNA (202 nucleotides) under uncultured bacterium. RNAcentral's name for it is "partial 16S ribosomal RNA". It matches the Rfam family "Bacterial small subunit ribosomal RNA", at positions 28 to 226 of the family's 1533-position model. The record is from RNAcentral.